GAUGAACGCUGGCGGCGUGCCUAAUACAUGCAAGUCGAGCGAACGGACGAGAAGCUUGCUUCUCUGAUGUUAGCGGCGGACGGGUGAGUAACACGUGGAUAACCUACCUAUAAGACUGGGAUAACUUCGGGAAACCGGAGCUAAUACCGGAUGAUAUUUUGAACCGCAUGGUUCAAAAGUGAAAGACGGUCUUGCUGUCACUUAUAGAUGGAUCCGCGCUGCAUUAGCUAGUUGGUAAGGUAACGGCUUACCAAGGCAACGAUGCGUAGCCGACCUGAGGGGGUGAUCGGCCACACUGGAACUGAGACACGGUCCAGACUCCUACGGGAGGCAGCAGUAGGGAAUCUUCCGCAAUGGGCGAAAGCCUGACGGAGCAACGCCGCGUGAGUGAUGAAGGUCUUCGGAUCGUAAAACUCUGUUAUUAGGGAAGAACAUAUGUGUAAGUAACUGUGCACAUCUUGACGGUACCUAAUCAGAAAGCCACGGCUAACUACGUG
Molecule: ribosomal RNA, 497 nt
Filed under: uncultured bacterium
Lineage: Bacteria
Description: partial 16S ribosomal RNA
Rfam family: Bacterial small subunit ribosomal RNA
Source: RNAcentral